This 475-nucleotide ribosomal RNA is filed under the name Streptococcus sp. oral taxon 061. Its description in RNAcentral is "bacterial SSU rRNA". It matches the Rfam family "Bacterial small subunit ribosomal RNA", at positions 28 to 485 of the family's 1533-position model. The record is from RNAcentral. Lineage: Bacteria; Bacillati; Bacillota; Bacilli; Lactobacillales; Streptococcaceae.
GAUGAACGCUGGCGGCGUGCCUAAUACAUGCAAGUAGAACGCUGAAGCUUGGUGCUUGCACCGAGCGGAUGAGUUGCGAACGGGUGAGUAACGCGUAGGUAACCUGCCUGGUAGCGGGGGAUAACUAUUGGAAACGAUAGCUAAUACCGCAUAACAGUAGAUAUUGCAUGAUAUCUGCUUGAAAGGUGCAAUUGCAUCACUACCAGAUGGACCUGCGUUGUAUUAGCUAGUUGGUGAGGUAACGGCUCACCAAGGCGACGAUACAUAGCCGACCUGAGAGGGUGAUCGGCCACACUGGGACUGAGACACGGCCCAGACUCCUACGGGAGGCAGCAGUAGGGAAUCUUCGGCAAUGGACGGAAGUCUGACCGAGCAACGCCGCGUGAGUGAAGAAGGUUUUCGGAUCGUAAAGCUCUGUUGUAAGAGAAGAACGAGUGUGAGAGUGGAAAGUUCACACUGUGACGGUAUCUUACCA